This 77-nucleotide ribozyme is filed under the name Crocodylus porosus (Australian saltwater crocodile). RNAcentral's name for it is "Mammalian CPEB3 ribozyme (ENSCPRG00005011742.1)". It matches the Rfam family "Mammalian CPEB3 ribozyme". From Rfam's summary of the family: The mammalian CPEB3 ribozyme is a self cleaving RNA located in the second intron of the CPEB3 gene which belongs to a family of genes regulating messenger RNA polyadenylation. This ribozyme is highly conserved and found only in mammals. The record is from Rfam by way of RNAcentral. Lineage: Eukaryota; Metazoa; Chordata; Crocodylia; Crocodylidae.
AGUCACAAGUUUGAGGCCAUAGGAGAAGCACUCACAGUGUGACCAUGUCAGAUUCCAACAAAUCUGCGAAUUCCACU